CCAUGCAUGUCUAAGUAUAAGCACUUAUACCGUGAAACUGCGAAUGGCUCAUUAAAUCAGUUAUCGUUUAUUUGAUAGUACCUUUACCUGGAUAACCGUGGUAAUUCUAGAGCUAAUACAUGCUAAAAACCCCGACUUCGGAAGGGGUGUAUUUAUUAGAUAAAAAACCAAUGCCCUUCGGGGCUCCUUGGUGAUUCAUAAUAACUUAACGAAUCGCAUGGCCUUGCGCCGGCGAUGGUUCAUUCAAAUUUCUGCCCUAUCAACUUUCGAUUGUAGGAUAGAGGCCUACAAUGGUCUUAACGGGUAACGGGGAAUUAGGGUUCUAUUCCGGAGAGGGAGCCUGAGAAACGGCUACCACAUCCAAGGAAGGCAGCAGGCGCGCAAAUUACCCAAUCCCGAUACGGGGAGGUAGUGACAAUAAAUACUGAUACGGGGCUCUUUCGGGUCUCGUAAUUGGAAUGAGUACAAUCUAAAUCCCUUAACGAGGAACAAUUGGAGGGCAAGUCUGGUGCCAGCAGCCGCGGUAAUUCCAGCUCCAAUAGCGUAUAUUAAAGUUGUUGCCGUUAAAAAGCUCGUAGUUGAACCUUGGCCCUGGCUGAUCUGUCCUCCUAAUCGAGCGCACGGAUUCGGUCGGGGCUUUCCUCCUGGGGAGCCCCAUGCCCUUCACUGGGUGUGGCGGGGAACCAGGACUUUUACCUUGAAAAAAUUAGAGUGUUCAAAGCAGGCCUUUGCUCGAAUACAUUAGCAUGGAAUAAUAGAAUAGGACAUCGGUUCUAUUUUGUUGGUUUCUAGGACCGCUGUAAUGAUUAAUAGGGACAGUCGGGGGCGUCAGUAUUCAAUUGUCAGAGGUGAAAUUCUUGGAUUUAUUGAAGACUAACUACUGCGAAAGCAUUCGCCAAGGAUGUUUUCAUUAAUCAGUGAACGAAAGUUAGGGGAUCGAAGACGAUCAGAUACCGUCGUAGUCUUAACCAUAAACUAUGCCGACUAGGGAUCGGACGGUGGUUUUUUAUGCCCCGUUCGGCACCUUACGAGAAAUCAAAGUUUUUGGGCUCGGGGGGGA
Molecule: ribosomal RNA, 1060 nt
Filed under: Exophiala lamphunensis
Lineage: Eukaryota; Fungi; Ascomycota; Eurotiomycetes; Chaetothyriales; Herpotrichiellaceae
Description: SSU rRNA
Rfam family: Eukaryotic small subunit ribosomal RNA
Source: RNAcentral